This 442-nucleotide ribosomal RNA is filed under the name uncultured bacterium. Its description in RNAcentral is "bacterial SSU rRNA". It matches the Rfam family "Bacterial small subunit ribosomal RNA", at positions 339 to 796 of the family's 1533-position model. The record is from RNAcentral.
CUACGGGAGGCAGCAGUGAGGAAUAUUGGGCAAUGGGGGAAACCCUGACCCAGCAACGCCGCGUGGAGGACGAAGGCCCUCGGGUCGUAAACUCCUUUUGCGAGGGAAGAAGAUCUGACGGUACCUCGCGAAUAAGCCACGGCUAACUACGUGCCAGCAGCCGCGGUAAUACGUAGGUGGCGAGCGUUGUCCGGAUUUAUUGGGCGUAAAGAGCCCGCAGGCGGUUCAGCAAGUUUCAGGUGAAAUCUCCCGGCUCAACUGGGAGGGUGCCUGGAAAACUGUUGGACUUGAGGCAGGGAGAGGGAUGUGGAAUUCCCGGUGUAGUGGUGAAAUGCGUAGAUAUCGGGAGGAACACCAGUGGCGAAGGCGGCAUCCUGGCCCUGUCCUGACGCUCAGGGGCGAAAGCGUGGGGAGCAAACCGGAUUAGAAACCCUGGUAGUCC